UGAGUAACACGUAUCCAACCUGCCGUCUACUCUUGGCCAGCCUUCUGAAAGGAAGAUUAAUCCAGGAUGGCAUCAUGAGUUCACAUGUCCGCAUGAUUAAAGGUAUUUUCCGGCAGACGAUGGGGAUGCGUUCCAUUAGAUAGUAGGCGGGGUAACGGCCCACCUAGUCAACGAUGGAUAGGGGUUCUGAGAGGAAGGUCCCCCACAUUGGAACUGAGACACGGUCCAA
Molecule: ribosomal RNA, 229 nt
Filed under: uncultured bacterium
Lineage: Bacteria
Description: partial 16S ribosomal RNA
Rfam family: Bacterial small subunit ribosomal RNA
Source: RNAcentral